UUGACCUCAAAUCGAGUAGGACUACCCGCUGAACUUAAGCAUAUCAAUAAGCGGAGGAAAAGAAACUAACAAGGAUUCCCCUAGUAACGGCGAGUGAAGAGGGAAGAGCUCAAAUUUUGAAUCUGGCGUCUUUGGCGUCCGAAUUGUAAUCUAGAGAAGUGUUUUCCGUGACGGACCGUGCACAAGUCUCCUGGAAUGGAGCGUCAUAGAGGGUGAGAAUCCCGUAUAUGGCAUGGACUACCGUUGCUCUGUGAUACACUCUCGACGAGUCGAGUUGUUUGGGAAUGCAGCUCUAAAUGGGUGGUAAAUGCCAUCUAAAGCUAAAUAUUGGCGAGAGACCGAUAGCGAACAAGUACCGUGAGGGAAAGAUGAAAAGCACUUUGGAAAGAGAGUGAAACAGUACGUGAAAUUGUUGAAAGGGAAACGCUUGAAGUCAGUCGUGCCGUUCGGGAUUCAGCCUUGCUUCUGCUCGGUUUACUUCCUGUUGGGUGGGUCAACAUCAGUUUUGGUCGGAGGAGAAAGGCUUGGGGAAUGUGGCAGCAUUCGUGCUGUGUUAUAGCCCCUUGUUGUAUACUUCGGCUGGGACUGAGGACCGCAGCACGCCUUUGGCCGGGGUUCGCCCACGUACGUGCUUAGGAUGUUGGCAUAAUGGCUUUAAGCGACCCGUCUUGAAACACGGACC
Molecule: ribosomal RNA, 682 nt
Filed under: uncultured fungus
Lineage: Eukaryota; Fungi
Description: eukaryotic LSU rRNA
Rfam family: Eukaryotic large subunit ribosomal RNA
Source: RNAcentral